This 453-nucleotide ribosomal RNA is filed under the name uncultured bacterium. RNAcentral's name for it is "bacterial SSU rRNA". It matches the Rfam family "Bacterial small subunit ribosomal RNA", at positions 340 to 786 of the family's 1533-position model. The record is from RNAcentral.
UACGGAAGGCAGCAGUGGGGAAUAUUGCACAAUGGGCGCAAGCCUGAUGCAGCCAUGCCGCGUGUAUGAAGAAGGCCUUCGGGUUGUAAAGUACUUUCAGUCGUGAGGAAGGUGUUAAGGUUAAUAACCUUAGCAAUUGACGUUAGCGACAGAAGAAGCACCGGCUAACUCCGUGCCAGCAGCCGCGGUAAUACGGAGGGUACGAGCGUUAAUCGGAAUUACUGGGCGUAAAGGGCACGCAGGCGGUUAAUUAAGUUGGAUGUGAAAUCCCCGGGCUUAACCUGGGAAUGGCAUUCAAGACUGGUUAGCUAGAGUCUUGUAGAGGGGGUAGAAUUCCAUGUGUAGCGGUGAAAUGCGUAGAGAUGUGGAGGAAUACCGGUGGCGAAGGCGGCCCCUGGACAAAGACUGACGCUCAUGUGCGAAAGCGUGGGGAGCAAACAGGGAUUAGAUACC